RNAcentral lists this non-coding RNA (174 nucleotides) under Sporomusa malonica. The record is from RNAcentral. Lineage: Bacteria; Bacillati; Bacillota; Negativicutes; Selenomonadales; Sporomusaceae.
UCCACCGUGAGGUGGAAUCUGAAGGAAGUCGGCGGCAAAGCUCUGGUCUGAGGAAUACGAACUACAUAUGAGGCAUGCGUAAUGCUGGGUGAACUGGCCGAACAAAGUAAAGCCCAAAACUAUCCGAAGCAUACGGUGUAAAUGUAGCAGAUGUAUGGAGUGAAAGUAAACGCU